GAAAGAUGAAAAGAACUUUGAAAAGAGAGUUAAACAGUAUGUGAAAUUGUUGAAAGGGAAACGAUUGAAGCCAGUCGUACCUUCGGGUAAUCAGCCUUUCGGGUGCGAUUCUGUGGAGUUUGAGGAGCUUAACACCUUCAUGCUUUGCAUAUUCGUGCUCUUGGGUGUACUUGCUCGUAUGGUUGGUUAACAUCAAUUUUGGUGGUCAUAAAAUGACUGGAGGAAUGUAGCUUCGAUCUCGUAUUGAAGUGUUAUA
This 256-nucleotide ribosomal RNA is filed under the name uncultured Rhizophagus. Its description in RNAcentral is "partial large subunit ribosomal RNA". It matches the Rfam family "Eukaryotic large subunit ribosomal RNA", at positions 359 to 630 of the family's 3401-position model. The record is from RNAcentral. Lineage: Eukaryota; Fungi; Glomeromycota; Glomeromycetes; Glomerales; Glomeraceae.